Mya arenaria is the source of this 316-nucleotide long non-coding RNA. RefSeq lists it as uncharacterized. The transcript has 3 exons. NCBI's taxonomy places the organism in Eukaryota, Metazoa, Mollusca, Bivalvia, Myida, Myidae. The record is from RefSeq and is a predicted model, not a curated record.
CAACUGUCAAAAUGUUUUGAAAAACAAAAUGCUCUUAUUUCGAUGCAUUUCAAGAGUUUUGUUGUGAUAAAAACACUGGAAUAUAGACUGAAAUACUAUCCAACCAUUAGACUCAUGAUCUUGACAUGGAUCCAAGAUGCUGGUAACUAGGCGGGACGGAUUGUUUCACAGAACUGCAGGUUUCUGGAUGGAGACUCAGCGCCAUGUCACAAAUACUUCAGAACCUAGCAUGAAAGUUACCAAAAGAGCAAUAGACUUUCCAAUCUCUACAAAAUUCAUCUUAACUAUUCUUCAAGGUGAUACUUGAGACUACCAA